GAACCGGUAUCAAACAAAAACAUCCCGCUUUUAGCUUUCGUACAUUUCUCCUUGAUGUGGGCCGUCGAAGAAAAUGGAUUCAAGCCACGAAGAGGGAGGAGGGAACACUAUUUAACGUCUAUAAUGUCACAGUUGUUUGUAGCAUAGCAUUUUCGUAUUAGCGACCUGUUCGGAAUAGCUAGCUUCUAACGUUAGCGCUUUAAGUAAAGCCAUGUAGAGUUAAAUAAGACAGUGCAUUGUGUUUGUUCAACGGUCUCUGACACAACCCAAGCCAGGACGUCUGUUUUCACGACGACAACGAGGGACUGGGGUUGUUUGAGAAGUCCAACCGUGUGGAAAGGAAGAUGUUGCUGUUGCUAGCUUAGCUAGCUUUGCUUCGGACAACGAACUAACGAACGACCGUCCCGGUGCAUUGGAUGCAAGCUCACACGAGGAUAAAGGAACUGGAGGUGCUUGUGUUGACAUGACAUCAAUGAAGGUAAUUCGUCUCACCAAGUCCUCCCCUCGGAAAUGUCUGACUUGGUGUCAGUGACUGUCACACCAGGGAAGGGAAGGCUAGUGACCACAAGCUAACCUUGCUCCCAGAUGGAUCACAACAAAGCCACAGAAGAAACCUUGACCUGCCAGAGAUCCACGUAGUGAUCCACGUACUCCAGCCCCUGCCUCAUAGCUGUGGUUUGCCAUGCUUCCUUGAGGAUCCUCCCUGCCAACCACUGCCGGGUCUUAUUCCCCCUGGCAGCAAGGACUUCAUGACUUGCUUUGAGCCUGCUCUCUUCACAGAUGGCUCAGAGUGUACAUACAUACACACAUAUAUAUAGAUAAUUGGGUUAUAGUUUGUUCAUUGUGUUCAUUUUGUGUGUACUUUUCUAUGUUUUGUAUUUCUAUAAUGUCCACACGUUUUUCAAUAAAACAUGUGUCUUGUUGGUACUUUGA
Molecule: long non-coding RNA, 933 nt
Organism: Sardina pilchardus (European sardine)
Lineage: Eukaryota; Metazoa; Chordata; Actinopteri; Clupeiformes; Clupeidae
Exons: 3
Source: RefSeq, a predicted model, not a curated record